UAAGGAAUAUUGGUCAAUGGACGCAAGUCUGAACUAGCCAUGCCGCGUGAAGGAUGAAGGUCCUCUGGAUUGUAAACUUCUUUUAUCUGGGACGAAAACGGGAUUUUUAUCUCAAUUGACGGUACCAGAGGAAUAAGCACCGGCUAACUCCAUGCCAGCAGCCGCGGUAAUACGGAGGGUGCGAGCGUUAUCCGGAUUUACUGGGUUUAAAGGGUGCGUAGGUGGGCUUAUAAGUCAGUGGUGAAAUCUCCGAGCUUAACUUGGAAACUGCCGUUGAUACUAUAGGUCUUGAAUUAUCUGGAGGUAAGCGGAAUAUGUCAUGUAGCGGUGAAAUGCUUAGAUAUGACAUAGAACACCAAUUGCGAAGGCAGCUUACUACAUAUAAAUUGACGCUGAGGCACGAAAGCGUGGGGAUCAAACA
RNAcentral lists this ribosomal RNA (421 nucleotides) under uncultured bacterium. Its description in RNAcentral is "bacterial SSU rRNA". It matches the Rfam family "Bacterial small subunit ribosomal RNA", at positions 355 to 774 of the family's 1533-position model. The record is from RNAcentral.